Molecule: long non-coding RNA, 2353 nt
Organism: Macaca fascicularis (crab-eating macaque)
Lineage: Eukaryota; Metazoa; Chordata; Mammalia; Primates; Cercopithecidae
Source: Ensembl
AAAACAUGUAAGCACAAGGACUGAAGCACUUAGGUUGGUACUGGAAUUUGCAAAUGGAUGAGUGGAAGAAUUCUCUUUAGCAAUAGAGACAUUAUGGGGCCUCCGGCCAGAAUAUGUAGAAUGUCAUCAGCUUCUGACUAUGGGGAUACCUAAUAGGAAUUUUCCUGCAGGACUUCAUUCAUUUUGUGCCAUGUAUGGAUCUGAGAGUCCCUCUCCAACUAGAAGACUGGAAUAUUGUAGUGCAGCCCACAGUCUUGUCAAAGUAAAGGAGCUUGGCCACACUCAUUUGGUUACUGAUACAGAAACUCAAAUCUGGAAGCAACUGUGCUGGAAAAGGGUGGUGCGAAAAAGCUUCUACUCAGCAGGGGGAAGAAAAAUGGACCAUGUUAUAACAAAUAACAUAGCGGUGAACUCUCUGGAUGGUGGAGUUGUUCUGUGUGCUCCAGUUCCUACCGAGAUUGUGCCUAACUCAUCAUGAAUCUCAGCAGCAGCAGCAUGGACACCAUCACCAGCACACGCGUUUACAAGUAUCCAAUUACGGGUUAGAGACUCUGCAAGGAAAUUACAUUCACCCAGCACCUGGCCAGAACCUAAGACUUGUUUCAGCACUUCCUGCAAUUAGCAGAGGGCAGUUGCCUCCAUGGUGUGUAGCCAGUUGGGGUGAUGAGCAAUUCUCCCCCCAAAAGCCUCAUGAGACAUCUGGUGACUGAGUUCGCAAUGGCACUGCCUCAGUGUGUGUGCCCAUAAAAAUGCGAGCUGACGGUACCCGUCUAGGACAGGGUUCACCAGGCUUGUCUGUGCCUGCCUCUGCUGAGACGCUCUCAAGGGACUGCUAGAUUCCCACCCCCUUUCUUUAACAGUUCUUCCAACAGAGAGGCAGAACCUACUUCCUUCAGCUGCUUUCCUCUCUCCCCAAUUUCAGAAUUACUGUAAUUGUCCAUUGCAGUUGUUUGGCAUUCAUGUCAAUUUCAGUACAAGCUGGAGAAUUCAGGAGAAGUUGUAAGGUGUGAGGGUUGGGAGUUGCAUCCACUUGUCAGGGAAACUGCGACGUCCGAGGCAGGUCUGAGGCCUUUGCUACUUGGAUCGCUCCAGCAGAAUGGAUUGAGGGAGGUCCCCAGGAAGAAAUGUCCGCCCAUGGCCAAUUGCAUGCCGCAUUGGGGAGGGAGGUGUCAAACAAUGGUAAAGUGGAUAGGUGGUAAAGUGUCUUUUACCAUCUCUUAUAAGGACAAGUGACUCUCUGAGAUAAAAAACCACAAAGCCUCUUCUAAAGUUUAUAUUUACAGAGGCUCUGUGACUGCACGGCCACUUUUCUCAGCAGCUGUAGCAGGUCUUGGAAUAACAUUGCUUCAUUCAACAUCAUUUUAUUAUAAUGUUGAGGAGAAAAAAAUAUUGAUUCUCAGCCAGGGCCACUGUCUGUGUGGAGUUGUCAUGUUCUUGUCAUGUCUGUGUGGGUUUCCUCCCACAUCCCAAAGCUGUGCACCUCCGGUGAAACAGAAUACCACAUGGUCCCAGUAUGAGUGAAUGUGUGUGUAUGUGAGUGUGCCAUGGGAUGGGAUGGGAUGGUGUCCUGUCCAGGACGGGCUCCUGCCUGGCACCCGAGCUGCUGGCAUAGGCUCUGGCCACCUGAGAUCCUGAACUGGAAUAAGCAGGUAAAUAAUUAUCUUACUUGUUUUUUUAAGUCUUUCUUAAUUGUAUGUAUAACUCACAUUUUUUUCAAUGUCUAAUGUUAGAGUUGUCUGGUCUUUAUUUAGAAGUUUGGUGAUAUUUUUGUAACCAGAGAAAUAUGUUAUAGAAACUUUACUCUUAUUUAUAGUAACUAGCCUAUGGCAAAAUUGGUUAUCUUACAUGUCAUUUCACUUACAGUCACAGUUUCCAAGAACCUAUCCAUUAUGUUUAGUGAGUUCUAACUGUAUAUAUUAAGCAGCAUUUACAGUGCAGUGAAAAACUGUGAGAUGUUCCUAUGAACAGUGUCAACUUUGGUUUAGCAUUGCCUGUAUCAUGCAGGGCAAUACAGUGUCUAGUUUGAGUAUUUUAAUUCGUCUCUAUGAAAUGAAUUAUUGGGAGAGAUUUGUUAAAGGACAAAAAAUUACAGCUAGAUGGGAGGACUAGUGCUAGUGUUGUAUAGCACUGUAGGAUAACUACAGUUAUUAAUAACAUAUAGUUUCAACUAGUUAGAAGGAAGAUAUUAAAUGUUCCCAACACAAACAAAUAAUCAAUGUUGGAGAUGAUGGAUAUGCUCAUUACCCUGAGCUGAUUGUACUAUACAUAUGCACUAUAUGUAUUGCAACAUCACCAUGUACUCCAUAAAUAUGUACAACUAUUAUGUGUUAAUUAAAACAUUUUUUAAAAAGUC